RNAcentral lists this ribosomal RNA (433 nucleotides) under uncultured bacterium. RNAcentral describes it as "partial 16S ribosomal RNA". It matches the Rfam family "Bacterial small subunit ribosomal RNA", at positions 29 to 507 of the family's 1533-position model. The record is from RNAcentral.
AACGAACGCUGGCGGCAUGCCUAACACAUGCAAGUCGAACGAGACCUUCGGGUCUAGUGGCGCACGGGUGCGUAACGCGUGGGAACCUGCCCUUAGGUUCGGAAUAACUCCCCGAAAGGGGUGCUAAUACCGGAUAAUGUCUUCGGACCAAAGAUUUAUCGCCUUUGGAUGGGCCCGCGUUGGAUUAGCUAGUUGGUAGGGUAAAAGCCUACCAAGGCGACGAUCCAUAGCUGGUCUGAGAGGAUGAUCAGCCACACUGGGACUGAGACACGGCCCAGACUCCCACGCGGGACAGCGGAGGGGAAUAUUGUGCAAUAGGCGCGAGAGUGAGACCCAAAUGCCGCGUGUGAGAGAUGAAGCUCAGAGUUGUAAAACUCUUUUACCCGGGAUGAUAAUGACAGUACCGGGAGAAUAAGCUCCGGCUAACUCCGUG